Molecule: long non-coding RNA, 303 nt
Organism: Lingula anatina
Lineage: Eukaryota; Metazoa; Brachiopoda; Lingulata; Lingulida; Lingulidae
Source: RefSeq, a predicted model, not a curated record
AGCCGGACUUGGGGGUGGAUCGCUGGCAGUGGACACAGAUAUAUCGUACAAAUCUACCAGGCGACCUGCUCGCCAGAGUACUAAGCGAUAAAUAUGGUGCCUGCAGAACCAGGACUUCUUGCUGCUGCGCUGUGUGUUCUGAUAGCAGUUCAAACCGCAGCCGGAUCUGGCGUGCCAGACAACAAAGGGACCGAAUUCGUCCUCGUUUUCAUUCAGCAGCACAAAGCUCUGCUGACGAAUGGGAGGAACUCGCUGUACGUUACCAGCGAUGAAGCAACUAAUGUGACGAUCGAAAUACCUAGC